AUUGUGUUUUGAUGUGCGUUUGAUUUGUACCAUUAUUUUCUCCCUUAGUGGCCAUACUGUGAGAAACGCUGUACUUACUGCAACUUCAACAAGUACAUUCAACGUUCUGAUAAUGAGGAUGCCAUUCGAGCAUGUCUUUUAAAAGAAGCUUCUACAUUGAUACAACUCAGCCAGGUCAGAAGGUAAGCAUCCUCUCCAAAUGGCUAUUGUUGGGUAUCCUCUUCACUACCAAAAAUAUGUAUUGAUAAACUUUACUUCUAUUUUAUUUGCAAAACAAAGUUUAAUGCCUAAAGCCCCACUUACCAAUAUUUAUGUUCAUAAAAUGACUACCAGCAUUUAGAGGAACGACAUUCCCUGCCAGAAACCAAUUCAACCCAUUUAAUUGACACUAUAGUCACCCAAACAACUUUUAACUUAAUGAAGCAGUUUUGGUGUAUAGACUGUGCCCCUGCAGUCUCACUGCUCAAUUCUUUGCCAUUUAGGAGUUAAAUCACUUUGUUUAUACAGCCCUAGACACAUCUCCCUGCAUGUAACUUGCACAGCCUUCCUAAACACUUCCUGUAAAGAGUCAUCUAAUGUUUACACUUCCUUUAUUGCAGGUUAUGUUUAAUUUUGUAUUUCUUACCUCCUGCUCUGUUAAAGGACCACUAUAGUGCCAGCAAAACAUACUCGUUUUCCUGGCACUAUAGUGUCCUGAGGGUGCCCCCACCCUCAGUGUCCCCCUCCCGCCGGGCUCUAGGGGGUGGAAGGGGUUAAACUUACUUCUUUCUCCAGCGCUGGGUGGGGAGCUCUCCUCCUCCUCUCCUCCCUCUUUCUCAAUGCUUUCCUAUGGACGUCCAGCGUCUUCUCACUGUGAUUUUCACUCUGACCCCCUCGCCCCACCCCCUCCAUGAAGUUAUAAAGGAAGUGUCAAAGAUAAUGCCAUUGCUGCAGGGAUUGCUAUAAAAUGUUUAAUUACUUUUAUUUUACAAAUAUAUGAACUGUACUUAUUGAUUAUUGGCAUUAUGCUUACAUGCAAACAUUCUUUUUCAUUUAUCCCAUUUCUCUCUCCAACUACAGUUCACAUAAUAAAUAUAACAUUACAUUAAUAUUUCAGAACUUGGGUGGAAUUAUUGCAAAAAAAAAAAAAAGAAUUCAGAAUACUGUAUUGUGUACAUUUGUCAGCAUCCCCAGUACCAAGAUUGUAUAUAUUGCUUUAAUUUCUUUUACAUUUAGUAUUUCCUCUGUGUAUUUUGGAGGUGGUACACCCAACCUUGCCAGCCCUCAUACCAUUGGUGCCAUUUUAGAAGUGAUAUCACAAAAUGCUUUGCUGCAACAAGAUGCUGAAGUUACUCUGGAGGUUAACCCUGCAUCCAUUCAAAAUAGUAAACUGCACCUCUUCCGUGAAGUUGGGGUGAAUCGAGUGUCUGUUGGGGUACAG
Non-coding RNA from Pelobates cultripes (western spadefoot toad), 1420 nucleotides. Lineage: Eukaryota; Metazoa; Chordata; Amphibia; Anura; Pelobatidae. The record is from the annotation of a GenBank genome assembly.